RNAcentral lists this ribosomal RNA (468 nucleotides) under uncultured bacterium. RNAcentral describes it as "partial 16S ribosomal RNA". It matches the Rfam family "Bacterial small subunit ribosomal RNA", at positions 28 to 507 of the family's 1533-position model. The record is from RNAcentral.
GACGAACGCUGGCGGCGUGCUUAACACAUGCCAGUCGAACGGAAAGGCCCUGCUUUUGUGGGGUGCUCGAGUGGCGAACGGGUGAGUAACACGUGAGUAACCUGCCCUUGACUUUGGGAAAACUUCAGGAAACUGGGGCUAAUACCGGAUAGGAGCUCCUGCUGCAUGGUGGGGGUUGGAAAGUUUCGGCGGUUGGGGAUGGACUCGCGGCUUAUCAGCUUGUUGGUGGGGUAGUGGCUUACCAAGGCUUUGACGGGUAGCCGGCCUGAGAGGGUGACCGGCCACAUUGGGACUGAGAUACGGCCCAGACUCCUACGGGAGGCAGCAGUGGGGAAUAUUGCACAAUGGGCGGAAGCCUGAUGCAGCAACGCCGCGUGCGGGAUGACGGCCUUCGGGUUGUAAACCGCUUUCGCCUGUGACGAAGCGUGAGUGACGGUAAUGGGUAAAGAAGCACCGGCUAACUACGUG